This is a small nuclear RNA of Nycticebus coucang (slow loris), 104 nucleotides long. The record is from RefSeq and is a predicted model, not a curated record. NCBI's taxonomy places the organism in Eukaryota, Metazoa, Chordata, Mammalia, Primates, Lorisidae.
GUGCUUGCUUCAGCAGCACAUACACGAAAAUUAGAAUAAUACAGAGAUUAGUCUGGCCCCUGAGCAAGAAUGACACACAAAUUCACGAAGUGUUCCAUAUUUUU